Molecule: long non-coding RNA, 239 nt
Filed under: Lathyrus oleraceus (garden pea)
Lineage: Eukaryota; Viridiplantae; Streptophyta; Magnoliopsida; Fabales; Fabaceae
Description: Pisum sativum (pea) long non-coding RNA (PSAT_LNC041702)
Source: RNAcentral
UUGAAGUUACCAAACGAUGAAACUCCAGUGAGAGCUCGCUAGAGAAUAUGACCGGAGUAUUUCGCAGGUGGUCUGAGUUUGGACCAAACAGGUUGAAAUUUUGAAAGGUUUUGAUUGGUUAAAUUUAAAACAGAUUUUGUGCUUUGCUUGUAACGUAUUCUAUCGUGUUUCUCAACAUUUGGAGUGUUGGAUCUGCCACGUCAAUUAAUGAGGCGUGAUCCAACGCUCCUGGUUUUUUC